Molecule: long non-coding RNA, 2219 nt
Filed under: Arabidopsis thaliana (thale cress)
Lineage: Eukaryota; Viridiplantae; Streptophyta; Magnoliopsida; Brassicales; Brassicaceae
Description: [] (AT5G10965)
Source: RNAcentral
AUAUGGGCCAGUUAUUGGGCCUUUUAAAAUUGUAGAUUACAUUUUCGUUAACUUGGUCAUGUUCGAAAAACUCGGAGUCCUCACGUCAGCGCCGGCGAAAUUCCGGUACUGCUCCGUCUUCUACGUGUAUUGAAGGAAAGUGUGACUGAGAUUGAAGAGUAUUGAUGGGGUCAGAAUUGUGGUAUACAUACAAGUAGAUGAAAAAUGGACCCAAGAGCUAAUCAAUGAGACAUCAAUGACAACAAAAAACCAGCACAAAGAAAAGAAAGCUUGAGGAAAGGCUUGGCUCGAGGAAAACAAUUUCAGAGCAAAACCCAAAAAAAUGAAAAGAAAAGACUCUCAAAGUUUAAGGGACAAGUCAAGGUUCUUCUGCUUCUCUUCUUCAGCUGGCUUCAACAAUUCCUCGCCUCUCUGCCAUAGUUCAGAAGUUGGAAACUCUACUGGAAUCCUUCCUACAUCGAACCUACCGAUGUUUUCACAUGUGGAAGUCAACGGUGGAGCAAUCAUCAUCUGAUGAUGAUUAUAAUGAUUCUCUGUUGAAGUUAGUUUUGCUAUUGCUGGUUGCUGAACUAGUGGUAUCCUUGACCAGUUGAUCUGACCAUACUCACCACCGUAAACGUUAUAUGAACUUGGCUUAUGACUCAUUGAGUGUGCCUGAAUACCCAAGGUUCUGUUGCUGUACUGUCCAUGGAACGGGACCGGAGCAAAACCAUAUGGAUGCCCGAAAGCUGCGGCAGAUGCCAUCCGUUGCCCUCGCUUUGCCAAAGUCCUUUCUCUUUUGUGGGCGUUUUGGUGACCACCAAGCGCCUGUGAGCUGUAGAAUGUUCUUUGACAGUAGUUGCAUGAGAAGAGCUUCUGUUCAGUGGAAGUUGACCCGUUAAAACUCGGAGUGACUACACCUGUCUCUAAGCAGUCGAGGAGAUUGAGUUCUUGAUUGAGCUGUGGUUGACUAGAAUCAUAUCCUGCUAGCAUAAGGUCAAGCUUUAUACCUUCCACUCCUUCUUUUUGGUCAUGAUCAUCUUCUUCUUGUGCUGCUACUGUGUCUAUGUUGUAAUUUUCUAGGCUCAGCUUUGGGGAAUCUGAAAAUUGAAGACUGGUGGAUGCAGAAAUGAUGCAUGAGGAAUCAGAUGAUCUUGGUUUUCCGCUGGAAGAAUCCAUGAGGGGCAAAGAGGGUAUAUAAUUUUCCAGAAGUGGGAGCAGAAGUUGAUGCUAUAUAAGGAAAGUAUAGACUCAGUACAAAUGCUUUUGGAGUUUGUAAUAAGUGGAGAAAAGUAGUAAGAAGAUGAGAGAGAUAGAGAAAGAGAGAUGGGUAGGUCUUGUUUGCUGACACACCACACACACACACACACAAAGACACAACAAAACACUUGAAGCUGAUUGGAACUCCACCAAUUAAUACCUGUGUUUAUCCCUUUGUAGGAGCAACUUUCACUUCACAUCAACCUUUUUUUGGGCUGCUUUCUCCUUCAAUACACCAAUCUCUAUUCCCUAUCAUGCAUAAUCUUCUUUAACUUUUUUUUUCCUGUUCUCUCAGUCUAUUGCCUUUAUGUGCUUAAAAGUUCUUCAACAAACAAGUAUACAUGUCAUUUCUUUUUCUUAUACCCAGGUUGAUGCCAAUGACAUGUAGAGUUGGGCUUAAUUCAAGAAAGCCAUCCCAAUGAAUAUUUACUUUUUGUCUUGGACUCCUGAUUCUAAUAGGCCCCAACUCGUCUUCAUUUGGUAUAGUUUUGUAUGCAGCCGCGGAUAUGUACUCUUUUGUAUGAGGAAAAAAGGAUUUGGAGGGGGGAACAAGACAAAAGAAAGCUUGGCAGUUCAAAAGAUCUUCUGAAACUGGGACCGGUUUUAUUUGUUUGGAUGAAACGACAACUUGUUGUAAUAUUCACGGAGUAGAUGAAGAUGACAACAAGUGACAAUGAAAUUGAAAAGGAUGCUCAAUGACAAGAGAGAGAGAUAAGGAGAGAGUGGACCAAGUGAAACUAUUCAGGUAUGUUUGAUGUUUUUGUGUACUUUUGAAACUUCGAGAUGAAAGUGGUCAUCUCUGUUUCCUUUUAGCUUUCCACUGUUUAACUCUCUUUUGUCCUCUUUUCACUUCUUCCUUUUGAAGUUUGCUUCACAUUCACACUCUCCUUCAUCUUUAUAUCCAUUGGAAUCCUUAAUAGUUUGCCGGAUUUUAUGGUUGAAAGGUACGAAACUCCCUUAGGACACAUUCUACUUCACAG